AGGAGUAUAGCUCAGUUGGUAGAGCGCCACCCUUACAAGGUGGAUGUCAUCGGUUCGAACCCGGUUACUCCUA
RNAcentral lists this transfer RNA (73 nucleotides) under Nephroselmis pyriformis. RNAcentral's name for it is "tRNA-Val". It matches the Rfam family "tRNA". From Rfam's summary of the family: Transfer RNA (tRNA) molecules are approximately 80 nucleotides in length. Lineage: Eukaryota; Viridiplantae; Chlorophyta; Nephroselmidophyceae; Nephroselmidales; Nephroselmidaceae. The record is from RNAcentral.